UCGAUUUUUCUCACCUCCUAAGAUCACGACCGCAAUAAGAAUGAACAUCUAGGUUAUGAAAGCAGCUCGGAUAGAUCUCGAGUUCCUUGUUGUAUCUCUGAUAGGUGUUUUUAUCUCGAGGUUAAAAAAAUACAUCAGUUUCAAGGUACUUUCCCACAAUUCACACUCCUCAGCUCAAUUUUUCACUGGCAAAACACAUGGUAAACACUCGGUUGGAAAAUUCACAGUGAAACAUAAGAUUUACUCUUUCUCAGUACACUCUUACAUACAGAAGACUCCAGUUUAUGUAAGCCUCAAUUGACAGUUGGCAAAUCACGACGCUGUAAAGCCAUGACAUACGUUUUCGCAGCCUUGUAAGAAAAUAGUAUGCAUCCGUUAUAAAACAUUUCAAUUUGAGAAAAAUCGAAGAUGGUUUCCGUGGUGAAUUCAUUUUUUAGCAGUGUACUUAAAAGAAAAAACAGUCAGUCUCCUUUGAAGGGAAAGUUAAAGCGUGUGGGUAUGGAGGGGGGCCGGGACGUGAUGCCACUGCUGGAAGAGCGGGUAGCAGUGGUGACCGGAGGAAGAGACCGGAGAGGCGGCCCACUCCUUACCUUCCCCACGUCCGCCCGGAGGGACCGGCUCAAGCCCGACGACUACCGGAGGCUCAUCCACUACCUCAUCAACAUACCUCCACUGAGAAACCAGUUGUCCAAUGAAAAGUGACAAUCAACUCGAAUCACGUGAAAGAUUGGCUUUCUAACGGGAUUCGGCAAUUUUCGAUUUGUCUUUUAAUAAUCCCGGAGGCGGCCGACAAAUUUCACUGACGAUGUCGUUACAGUCGAACGUAAGAUACUGUUAUAAUAAAAAUCACGAAUAUGUUUAUGUUUCCCCGAUUGUACGCGUUUUUGUUUUAGUAUGUCAUGCUCAGUUGUUGUUGAU
Molecule: RNA transcript, 918 nt
Organism: Cimex lectularius (bed bug)
Lineage: Eukaryota; Metazoa; Arthropoda; Insecta; Hemiptera; Cimicidae
Gene name: kalirin-like
Exons: 6
Source: RefSeq, a predicted model, not a curated record